CACUUACAUGUGGUAUCUAAAAAAUAACACAAAUGCAUCAAUAUACAAAACAGAAACAGACUCAGAUAAAACAAAAUUAUGGUUUCCAAAGGGGAAAGGAAGCAGGGAGAAAUAAGGUUAGGAGUAUGGAUUAACAGAUAGAAACUAUUUUACGUAAAAUAGAUAAUCAACAAGGCUUUACUGUAGAGCACAAGGAUUUAUAUUCCAUGUUUUAUAAUAAUUAUAAUGUAAAAUAAUGUGAAAUAUAUAUAUAACAUCACUUUGCUAUAUACCUGAAACUAACACAAAAUUGUAAAUCAACUAUACUUCAGUUAAAAAAAAAAGAAUAGACAGAAUAACAUUAAUAAUAAGGGUAGACAGGAGACUAGAUGUCUAGAUACAAAAGUAUUUUUAUAAAACUACAGUAACAAAGAAGGGUGUAAUAUUUAUGCAUGACUGGAAAAAGAGGACAAUAGAACAUAGAUGGCAAAAUAAAGAAUUAAAUCUAAUAUAUAUAUGAAUAUAGUAUGAUAAAAAUAGUAUUUCAAAAGGGGAAGAUGGGUUAUUUAACAAAGACUUUUCAGACAACUUAGCAGAUGCCUGGGCGAAAAAAAUCAAGAUUUUUUCCUAACUCAUAACUUACACAAAAUAAAUUCAAAAUAGAUCAAAGAUUUAAUAUAAAAAUACCUUAAAAAGUGCUAAAAGAAAACAUUAAAUAAAUUAAUUAAUAAUCUCAGAAAAGGAAUCUCUUCCCAGUAUCUUACAAAACUCAGAGCUUUGAAAAAAUACAUUUAACAGCACACAAAUUUAAACUUUCUGCAUGCAAAAAGACAAAUGAAAAAUAGGAAAAAAUUACAACACAUAUUACAUUGCUUACAUCACUCACAAAGACUAAUUUCCUUAUAUAUAAGAAUUUUACAAAUCAAUAAAAUAAUGAGGAAAAAAUGAGUAAAUAAAAAGAAGGUUGAGUAAAGGAAACACAAAUGGCUCUCAAUUUAUUUAAUAAUAAGAGAAACUAGGGAGUUCCCAUCAUGGCUCAGUGGAUUAUGAAUCUGCCUAGUAUCCCUGAGAAUGCAGGUUGGAUCCCUGGCUCUGCUCAGUGGGUAAGGAUCCAGUUUUGCCCUGAGCUGUGGUGUAGGUUGCAGAUGCAGCUCCCAUUCAACCCCUAGCAUGGGAACUUCCAUAUGCCAUGGGUUCAGCCCUAAAAAUAGCAAAAAGCAAAAAAAUAAAAAAAUUUUUUAAAUAUAAGAGAAACUAAACUACUGAUCCAAUGAGUCAUAUUUUUAUGUAACACCUAUAGUUUCAACUAAUUAUAUUUCAUAUCUAAUAGUAAUUUCAAAACCUUUAUCAAAGUUAUAAAUUCUCAGUCAUUUUAUUUCAGCAGUUCUACUAGGAAUUUAUCCUGCUGACUUGGUGAUGUAUUAGAAAAAUGGGACACACAGAAGGAUAUUUAUUGCAACAUUGUUUGUAUUAGCUAAGAUUGACCAAAAAUGCCAAAUCUCUACCAAACCCCUAUCCUGAAGGUUGGUUAAAUAAUUGAUGACAUACGCCUAAAAAUAGAUACUAUGCAGACAUUAAAAGUAUUGAUUCUGUUAAAUAUUUCUACCGUGGAAAACUCUAUAAAAUACUCUAAGUGAAAAAGCAAGGUGUAAAUAGAAGAGUAUGCACAUUGGUACUGUUACUGAUUAUAUGUAAAUAUAAUUUUAUAUAUUAUAAUUAUAUACAUAACAUAUAUAAUACAUUAUAGAUAAAUUAUGAGAUAUGGUUACAUAUUUGAUGUAUAUAUAUAGUGAUAUAUAUGUACACAUGCAUAUAUGUACAUUUACAUGCACACAUAAUAUCUUUGAGUUUAUACAAAACAACUGGUAUUACUAGUUGCCUUUAAAAGAGGCAUUUAGUACUGUUUGUAUUACCUAUGCCACAAAUAAUUAGAAAAAAUUUUGAAUUAUAUAUUUAAAGUUCUAAUUAGACAAACAUCAUGGAGAAAAUCUCUCUCCCCUUUAACAUUCCUUUCUUGGGUUUCCAUACUCUUUUCUCUGUGCAUGAGAGUGAGGAGAGUGAUGUGAAGCUGGUUGGGAUGAUAAAUAGUCUCUCCUAGGUAGGAAAAGAUCAGAUUCAGAAAAAAGAAAACCAUAAAACUUGAAAUAUUUCCUGGUUAGGAGUCUGCCAAUCUGUACAUUAAAGAAAAAAAUGAACAGUAUUCCAGACUCCAAGGUCAGGAUAAGACACAGAAAAGGAAAAAAAUGCUGGGAAAUUUAUGUUCGGUACAGACGCUUUUUUAGUUCCUCUGCUUCUUUAACGCUGACACUCUGCACACAUCAGCAGUACUUCCCAAGCCAGACCGCCUUCAUUUCUGAAGAAAGAGAAUAAGGUGGGCCCUUCAUUCCAGAGCCUGCCAGUCCUACAGGCAUCUCUAUGGGAAUGACUGUGUCUCUAAUUAUUCUCCUUUACUACACUAGUCCCAAAUUACACUUUCUUUUAAUAACAGUAUUUCAAUUAAUAUGAAGUGCCAGCUACUGAAAUUCUGGUUUUGCUAUGAAUCAACAGUCAAAAAUAAGAAAAGUUUUAUCUUCCAUAAAUGCUAAUAACCAUGUCAUUCAGAUUAGUCCUAAGGCAAGCAAGUCAAAUGAAAAUCUCAACACAUAUAUUUGCAAAAUUCUAAGCACCCUUGGUUUCCUUCUUCUCUAUAGGGAGUAGAAAUAGGAUGACAAGAGUUUUCAUGAGGUCAGUUAAUAUUUAUAUGGGAGUCCUCUAACUUUGGUUUUCCUCCAAAGCAGAGCCUGAGUCAAGGACCUCAGUGCAGAUAGCUGACAUGGGAGGGGCUCUCAGGAAGCAGAAAUGAGGACCAUGAAAAGUAAAGGGAAGAAAGCCCAUUAAAGGUGCAACACUGAGCUGGCACCCACUUCUGGCAACUGAGAUUCGAUCCCAACUGAGAUCCUCUGAGGAAUCUUAGAGACCAUACCUCUGCAUCAUUCCUCUGGUGCUUGGUAGGUUGUAAUGUUUAUCUGUCAAUCUUAACCCUUUUUGGUUAAGGUUGCCUAACGGGUAUUAACCCCUUGCACUUCCAGGCUGCUGUGUUUGGGGGCUGAGCUGCCCAAACCUUCAGAAAAUGUCAAAAGACACAGCAAGUGCUUGAGGCAGAAAGUUAUCAAUGUGAUAAGAAUAUUCCACCAUAGCUGCUACUCAAUGUCUUAGGGGGCUUCUAAAGUUUCUUGCACAAACAUGGUUGUAGAGUUAUCAGGCAGGAUUUUAGUGGCCAGGGUCUUAUGACUUUAUACAACAAAGUUAAUAACCUCUUGUAUUUUGGAAUACAUUUGAAAAUUCAGAUACUUAUUGAGAUUUCUGAGGGUCACCAGAUAAAAUGACUAAAGUAAAAGUAAUUUGAUCCAGGAGUUUCGACUGAAUAGAAUGAAAUCAAAAAUUAAAAUUAUUCCUAUACCAAGUAGGUUAGUCUUAUUCAUCAAGUUACUAUGGGUUAGUGUUCAUUUUAAUGAUGCAGAGAGGGUGCCUAACCCCCAAUUCCCACCAAUGUCCCCAAUGGAGCUCUCAUUCCCAGCCAGAGAGGUGCUAUGUGCCCCCUCCCCUUGCAUCUACUUAGGAACACGAGACCUGUGUCUCUGAAUUCAUUGUCCCACGGGUUAUUUCACUCCAGAGUCUCCUGCAAGGAUGAGGCACAGUUUUUCAGGGUGACAACUGUGAUAUGAAAGGUCAAACUCCUUUCUACAUGGACUUUCAAACAGAUCUUGUUUUGAGUCCCCUUGGUUCUUGCUGUUUCCACAUCUUGAAGCUGGCAUGCACUGCUUAGUGGGAAAUAGCUAUUCUGAAGUUUUUCCUCUGCCAACUUCAAUUUCAAUUUUAUUUUUCUUUUUGGUCUGUUAAGUUAACCACCACUUGUCCACUUGUCCAUCUAGUUUUCUUUUUUUAUUUAAAUCCAUCAUCUCAUUUUCAUUCCUACUAAUUUUUUUUUUUUUUUUUUUUUUUUUUUUUUUUUUUGCUUUUUAAGGCGACACCCAAAGCAUAUGGAAAUUCCCAGGCUAAGAGUUGAAUCAGAGCUAUAGCUGCUGGCCUAUGCCACAGCCACAGCAAGGCAGGAUCCAAGCUGCAUCUGCGACCUACACCACAACUCAGGCAACGCCAGAUCCCCGACCCACUGAGUGAGGCCAGGGAUCAAACCCAUAUCCUCAUGGAUACUAGUCAGAUUCAUUUCUGCUGUGCCACAACAGGGACUCCCCUUAUUUUUUUUUAAUUGAAGUAUAGUUGAUUUACAGUAUUGUAUUGACUUCUGCAGGCAUUGUCAUGUUUAACCCUUACUGUCCAAACAUAAUUACAUAUCAACUGUGUGAUGGAGAUUUUAAAAAUGAAUACUGCCUGGCCUAUUUCUUCCAAGUCUUUGCAUUUAAAACAAUACAAUCAAAGAAACUACAUUCCAGGUAAGAUAGUCUUCCAAAAACUCCUUUACCCUCCAAUCAAGAAAAUAACAAUGUCUGAUAAAUAUUAGAAAAUCCCUCGCUGUUUUAUACUAUUCCUGAAUAGAUCAUGAAUAGAAAUUUGAAAAUGUGAUACCUAGCUGCUAGUUGUUUAUUUUUCACAUUUGUACAGUUACUCAAGGUAGAAUAUCCAAACCUCGAGUGAUUCACCGAAAUGUCUUUCCUGAAACCAGCCAUUUUCCAAAGCUAUAUUUUAGCAAUUUGAAACAAAAAUCAUUCAUCACCAAGACAGGGAGCCUUGGAUGGAAUUCCAGACAUCUGUGAGGAACCAAGUAUCCAGAAUGAUCUAGUCUUCUCACAGAAAGAAAAGGCUUUUAGAAAGAACUGACAAACAGCUGUGGCAGCUUAUAUAGUAUAUAAUACACAGACCACAAACAACAAAAAAUGAGGGCACAGGAAGGAAACCAAUACAAGAAAACAGAGAGAGGAAUUUGUCAGUGUCAUUCGUUUACUUGAUUGUUAUUCACAUAUAAAUAUAGAAAUAUACAUAAUGAUGCCAGAAACCAGCAAGGGCUGCAUGAAUCAAUUACAUCACAUUUACUGCCUGAACAUUAUGUCCUAGUAGCACAUCCAAACAAUUCCUCUUCUAUCAAUGCUCUCUUAUUGAUUUGUGUAGCUUUGCAGCUAUUC
RNAcentral lists this long non-coding RNA (5096 nucleotides) under Sus scrofa (pig). RNAcentral describes it as "lncRNA (ENSSSCG00000062655.1)". Lineage: Eukaryota; Metazoa; Chordata; Mammalia; Artiodactyla; Suidae. The record is from RNAcentral.